Molecule: ribosomal RNA, 492 nt
Filed under: uncultured bacterium
Lineage: Bacteria
Description: partial 16S ribosomal RNA
Rfam family: Bacterial small subunit ribosomal RNA
Source: RNAcentral
AGUGAACGCUGGCGGUAGGCCUAACACAUGCAAGUCGAACGGCAGCACAGUACGAGCUUGCUCUUACGGGUGGCGAGUGGCGGACGGGUGAGGAAUACAUCGGAAUCUACUUUUUCGUGGGGGUUCACGUAGGGAAACUUACGCUAAUACAGCAUACGAUCUACGGGUGAAAGCAUGGGAUCUUCGGACCUUGCGCGAUUGAAUGAGCCGCUGUGGGAUUAGCUAGUUGGCGGGGUGAAGGCCCAGCAAGGCGACGAUACGUAGCUGGUGUGAGAGGAUGGUCGGCCACACGAGAACUUGAACACGGACCAUGCGCCUAAGGGAGGCAGCAGUGGGGAAUAGUAGACAGUAGGCGGAAACCUGGUCCAAUCAGAGCACGUCGGAGAAAGAGGCGUUCCGGGUGUAAAGCCCUUUUUUUGGGAAAGAAAAGCAGCAGCUUAAUACGCCGCGGGUCUGACGGUACCCAAAGAAUAAGCACCGGCUAACUUCGUG